This 432-nucleotide ribosomal RNA is filed under the name uncultured bacterium. RNAcentral describes it as "partial 16S ribosomal RNA". It matches the Rfam family "Bacterial small subunit ribosomal RNA", at positions 29 to 506 of the family's 1533-position model. The record is from RNAcentral.
AACGAACGCUGGCGGCAUGCCUAACACAUGCAAGUCGAACGAGACCUUCGGGUCUAGUGGCGCACGGGUGCGUAACGCGUGGGAACCUGCCCUUAGGUUCGGAAUAACUCCCCGAAAGGGGUGCUAAUACCGGAUAAUGUCUUCGGACCAAAGAUUUAUCGCCUUUGGAUGGGCCCGCGUUGGAUUAGCUAGUUGGUAGGGUAAAAGCCUACCAAGGCGACGAUCCAUAGCUGGUCUGAGAGGAUGAUCAGCCACACUGGGACUGAGACACGGCCCAGACUCGUGGGGGAGGCAGGGGUGGGGAAUAUUGGGCAAGGGGCAAAAUCCUGACCCGGCAAGGCCGGGAGGGUGAUGAAGGCCUUGGGGUUGUAAAGCUCUUUUCCCCGGGAGAAAAAUACCAUAACCGGGGAAAAAAGCCCCGGCUAACCCCGG